This is a long non-coding RNA of Rhodamnia argentea, 133 nucleotides long. RefSeq lists it as uncharacterized. The record is from RefSeq and is a predicted model, not a curated record. The transcript is spliced from 3 exons. NCBI's taxonomy places the organism in Eukaryota, Viridiplantae, Streptophyta, Magnoliopsida, Myrtales, Myrtaceae.
UUGUCUGCCUUAAGUAGGCCUUACUAUUAGAUUUAUCCUCCUCCGACGAAUUCGAGAUAUCCUCUAAAAACUUUUGCGGGCGAAAAUUCAGAGCACUAAUGUUGAGGAGAACUUGUUGAUCUUCAGAAGAUAA